RNAcentral lists this ribosomal RNA (467 nucleotides) under uncultured bacterium. RNAcentral describes it as "partial 16S ribosomal RNA". It matches the Rfam family "Bacterial small subunit ribosomal RNA", at positions 29 to 507 of the family's 1533-position model. The record is from RNAcentral.
ACGCACGCUGGCGGCGUGCUUAACCCAUGCAAGUCGAACGGAAAGGCCCUGCUUUUGUGGGGUGCUCGAGUGGCGAACGGGUGAGUAACACGUGAGUAACCUGCCCUUGACUUUGGGAUAACUUCAGGAAACUGGGGCUAAUACCGGAUAGGAGCUCCUGCUGCAUGGUGGGGGUUGGUAAGUUUCGGCGGUUGGGGAUGGACUCGCGGCUUAUCAGCUUGUUGGUGGGGUAGUGGCUUACCAAGGCUUUGACGGGUAGCCGGCCUGAGAGGGUGACCGGCCACAUUGGGACUGAGAUACGGCCCAGACUCCUACGGGAGGCAGCAGUGGGGAAUAGUGCACAAUGGGCGGAAGCCUGAUGCAGCAACGCCGCGUGCGGGAUGACGGCCUUCGGGUUGUAAACCGCUUUCGCCUGUGACGAAGCGUGAGUGACGGUAAUGGGUAAAGAAGCACCGGCUAACUACGUG